UGUACAGGGUUUCUUUUUUCGGGUGAUGGUUGCACAACUCUGUGAAUAUACUGAAAACCAUUACUUUACCCACCUUAGGUGAAUGGUUUGGUAUAUGAUAUGUGAUGUAUAUAUGCGAGAGACCUUUCCCUUCUGUUAAAUCCUCUUGCCUUGCAAUAAUGUGGAGAUCUGCAUCAUCUAAGAAUUUACAGAAAAGAAGGAUCAACUUACUUGGUAACAAGUGGCUUAAAUUUGAGUUGUUAACACUCUUCUCCAUUUAGAUUUCGUUCAGGUUCCCAGACCGUUGCUUUUCCAAAUCGAGUGGCCGUCAACUGGAGCUUUAGGCAAACGAUGAGCACACAGGGGCUGUUCACCUCUUUGGUCUCUGCUCUUAGAACUGGUGCCCGGAGCUGCCGUGGAGUGUGGCAGGGUGCUGGCCCACCUCACCCACCACCCCAUCUGCAUCCUGAAAGGAGGCUAUGAACGCUUCUCAGCCAUGUACCACUUCCUCCGGACACAGAAGAUCAUCUGGAUGCCACAGGAACUGGAUGCCUUUCAGCCCUACCCUGCUGAAAUCAUGCCAGGCAAGAUCUACCUGGGCAAUUUCAGGCAAGCCUGCGACCCGAAAAUUCAGAAGGAUUUGAAAAUCAAAGCACAUGUCAAUGUCUCCAUGGAGACAGGGCCAUUUUUUGUAGAUGACAGUAACAAACUUCUGCACAUCAAGAUUGAAGAUUCCCCGGAAGCCAACAUUUUCCCCUUUUUACGGCACCUCUGUCACUUCCUUGAAGUUCACCUCCGGCUUGGCUCGGUCAUCCUGGUCUUUUCCACCCUGGGCAUCAGUCGCAGCUGUGCGGCCACCUUGGCCUUCCUCAUGCAUUGGAAGGAGCAGACCUUGAAGCGUUCAUUCAGGCUUCUCCAAGGGAGGUGCAUUUUGGUUAUUGCUUGGAGCCAGAGAACUACGACCCUGGCAGGGCUCCAAGGGCACCUACUCCAACAGUCUUGACCCGGACUGGAGAAGGGGGCGGAGACCUGUCACCACAAACUCCGUGGAACCAGCGCUUGUGACGCCGAGGGCAGUGCCUUCCCAUGGCACGAGGAGAUGGCGGCCUGCCCCGAGGGGAGGCACAGCUUUUGCAUGACUUCAGAGGGCUUCGGUGGGACCCGAAAAGCUCCCACGUAUGCCCAGGGCUGUGCUUGAAGGAAGGGGAGGGUCAGAGAAUGACCAUGGUCAGAGCCCAUUGCCAGCGGUUUGGGAUGUUGGCCCCACGUGCUCUUUGGGGGUGAAAUUGCCAGCUAGAAAGAGUCUCGGGCAGCCAGCAAUUCCACCUGUAGGAGUGGAAGCCAGGGCUCAGAUGUUUGUGGGGCCGUGUUCGGAGCAGCAUUACUCACCGUAGCCAACAGGUGGGAGUAACCCAUCUGUCCGUCAACAGACGAAAGGAUAGAAACAAAUGGUCUGUCCACACAAUGGACUAUUCCUCAGCCUCGCCAAGGAAGGACAUUUUGACACCUGCUGCCACAUGGAUGAACCGGAGGACAUUAUGCUGCGGGAAUGGGGAGUUGUUUCAUGUAUGUGAAAGUUCUGGAGAUGGACGGUGGUGACGGUCGCACAACAUGGUGAAUGUACUUCUUGCCAUUGAACCGGACCCCCAAACAUGGUGAAAAUGGGAAGUUCUCUGUUACGUCUGCUUUACUACAAUUGAAAAAGAAAAGCGUCUGGAGGCAGAAUCACAGGGCCUGGAGCGAGAGGCCCAGACCCCUGGUUUCUCACCCCGUGCAAGAAGUCCUGGGCCUAUGUCAAGAAGUGCAAAAACAACGUGCAUCCCAAUCGGGGCUUGGUGGCUCAGCUGUC
This is a non-coding RNA of Leptonychotes weddellii (Weddell seal), 1828 nucleotides long. The record is from RefSeq and is a predicted model, not a curated record. NCBI's taxonomy places the organism in Eukaryota, Metazoa, Chordata, Mammalia, Carnivora, Phocidae.